RNAcentral lists this ribosomal RNA (720 nucleotides) under Triticum aestivum (bread wheat). RNAcentral's name for it is "partial small subunit ribosomal RNA". The record is from RNAcentral. Lineage: Eukaryota; Viridiplantae; Streptophyta; Magnoliopsida; Poales; Poaceae.
AUGCGGCCGCGGCUGGUGCUCUUCGGCGACUCAAUCACCGAGCAGUCCUUUGCCCCCGGCGGCUGGGGCGCCGCCCUCGCGGAGCACUUCGCGAGGCAGGCGGAUGUGGUGCUGCGCGGGCUCAGCGGGUACAACACGCGCUGGGCGCUGAAGGUGCUGGAUAGAGCCAUGGAGGGGGCGGCCGACGGCGGCGCGGACCCGGCGGCAGUGACGGUGUUCUUCGGCGCCAACGACGCCACCCUGCCCGACGAGAUGCAGGCGCACCAGCACGUGCCGCUCGGGGAGUACAAGGACAACCUGCGCGCGAUCUGUGCCUACUUCAAGAAUAAGUGGCCCUCCGCUGCCAUCAUACUCAUCACCCCUCCACCGAUCCACGAGCCGGCGAGGAUUCGAGACAUAUAUGGAGAUAAUGACCCUUCAAGACAGCCUGAAAGAACAAAUGAAGCUGCUGGCACUUAUGCACAAGCAUGCAUAACUGUUGCUAAAGAAUUGGGUCAUCCAGUUAUAGACAUCUGGACACAGAUGCAGCAAUGUCCUGAUUGGCAAACAUCUGCAUUAAGUGACGGGCUACAUUUCACCCCGUCCGGGAACAAAAUUUUGUUCGACGAGGUGCUGAAGACACUGGAAAGUGUUGGUUUCAGCCAGCACAGUCUCCGGUCCGAUCUCCCUCUCUUCCAUGAAAUUGACCCCAAGGACCCACUGAAAGCCUUUGAGAUUUGA